RNAcentral lists this ribosomal RNA (431 nucleotides) under uncultured bacterium. RNAcentral describes it as "bacterial SSU rRNA". It matches the Rfam family "Bacterial small subunit ribosomal RNA", at positions 354 to 776 of the family's 1533-position model. The record is from RNAcentral.
GUGGGGAAUAUUGCGCAAUGGGCGAAAGCCUGACGCAGCAACGCCGCGUGAGUGAUGAAGGUCCUCGGAUCGUAAAGCUCUGUCGACAGGAAAGAUGGGCUGGACGGCGAAUACCCGGCCAGCUUGACGGUACCUGUAAAGGAAGCACCGGCUAACUCUGUGCCAGCAGCCGCGGUAAGACAGAGGGUGCAAGCGUUGUUCGGAAUUAUUGGGCGUAAAGGGCGCGUAGGCGGCCGAGCAAGUCAACUGUGAAAGCCCAGGGCUCAACCCUGGAAGUGCAGCUGAAACUGCUCGGCUAGAAUAUCGGAGAGGGUGGUGGAAUUCCCAGUGUAGAGGUGAAAUUCGUAGAUAUUGGGAGGAACACCGGUGGCGAAGGCGACCGCCUGGACGAAUAUUGACGCUGAGGCGCGAAAGCGUGGGUAGCAAACAGG